CUCCCAAUAGCUCAGUUGGUUUAGAGCGUUCGACUGUAAUUGUGAAUAGUCAUCGAAAGGUCACCUGUUCGACUCAGGUUUGGGAGA
Molecule: transfer RNA, 87 nt
Rfam family: tRNA
About the family: Transfer RNA (tRNA) molecules are approximately 80 nucleotides in length. Their secondary structure includes four short double-helical elements and three loops (D, anti-codon, and T loops). Further hydrogen bonds mediate the characteristic L-shaped molecular structure. tRNAs have two regions of fundamental functional importance: the anti-codon, which is responsible for specific mRNA codon recognition, and the 3' end, to which the tRNAs corresponding amino acid is attached (by aminoacyl-tRNA synthetases). tRNAs cope with the degeneracy of the genetic code in two manners: having more than one tRNA (with a specific anti-codon) for a particular amino acid; and 'wobble' base-pairing, i.e. permitting non-standard base-pairing at the 3rd anti-codon position.
Source: Rfam